ACUAUGAUUAUGCCUAAUGGUUAGAGCGUCCGCCUCGAGUGCGGGAGGUCGUUAGUUCGAACCCUGGCAGAGUCAUAGCA
Molecule: non-coding RNA, 80 nt
Organism: Potamilus streckersoni
Lineage: Eukaryota; Metazoa; Mollusca; Bivalvia; Unionida; Unionidae
Source: the annotation of a GenBank genome assembly